This 465-nucleotide ribosomal RNA is filed under the name uncultured bacterium. RNAcentral's name for it is "partial 16S ribosomal RNA". It matches the Rfam family "Bacterial small subunit ribosomal RNA", at positions 339 to 795 of the family's 1533-position model. The record is from RNAcentral.
CUACGGGUUGCUGCAGUGGGGAAUAUUGGACAAUGGGGGAAACCCUGAUCCAGCAAUGCCGCGUGUGUGAAGAAGGCCUGCGGGUUGUAAAGCACUUUCGGUUGGGAGGACUGCUUCUAGCACUAAUAUUGUUGGAAGUUGACGUUACCUACAGAAGAAGCACCGGCUAACUCAGUGCCAGCAGCCGCGGUAAUACUGAGGGUGCAAGCGUUAAUCGGAAUUACUGGGCGUAAAGCGCGCGUAGGUGGUUAGAUCAGUUGGGUGUGAAAGCCCCGGGCUCAACCUGGGAAUUGCAUCCGAUACUGUCUAGCUUGAGUACAGGAGAGGAGAGUGGAAUUCCACAUGUAGCGGUGAAAUGCGUAGAUAUGUGGAGGAACACCAAUGGCGAAGGCAGCUCUCUGGCCUGAUACUGACGCUGAGGUGCGAAAGCGUGGGGAGCAAACAGGAUUAGAUACCCCCGUAGUC